UCUGGCGGCGUGCUUAACACAUGCAAGUCGAACGGAAAGGCCCUGCUUUUGUGGGGUGCUCAAGUGGCGAACGGGUGAGUAACACGUGAGUAACCUGCCCUUGACUUUGGGAUAACUUCAGGAAACUGGGGCUAAUACCGGAUAGGAGCUCCUGCUGCAUGGUGGGGGUUGGAAAGUUUCGGCGGUUGGGGAUGGACUCGCGGCUUAUCAGCUUGUUGGUGGGGUAGUGGCUUACCAAGGCUUUGACGGGUAGCCGGCCUGAGAGGGUGACCGGCCACAUUGGGACUGAGAUACGGCCCAGACUCCUACGGGAGGCAGCAGUGGGGAAUAUUGCACAAUGGGCGGAAGCCUGAUGCAGCAACGCCGCGUGCGGGAUGACGGCCUUCGGGUUGUAAACCGCUUUCGCCUGUGACGAAGCGUGAGUGACGGUAAUGGGUAAAGAAGCACCGGCUAACUACGUGCCAGCAGCCGCGGUGAUACGUAGGGUGCGAGCGUUGUCCGGAUUUAUUGGGCGUAAAGGGCUCGUAGGUGGUUGAUCGCGUCGGAAGUGUAAUCUUGGGGCUUAACCCUGAGCGUGCUUUCGAUACGGGUUGACUUGAGGAAGGUAGGGGAGAAUGGAAUUCCUGGUGGAGCGGUGGAAUGCGCAGAUAUCAGGAGGAACACCAGUGGCGAAGGCGGUUCUCUGGGCCUUUCCUGACGCUGAGGAGCGAAAGCGUGGGGAGCGAACAGGCUUAGAUACCCUGGUAGUCCACGCUGUAAACGGUGGGUACUAGGUGUGGGGUCCAUUCCACGGGUUCCAUGCCGUAGCUAACGCUUUAAGUACCCCGCCUGGGGAGUACGGCCGCAAGGCUAAAACUCAAAGGAAUUGACGGGGCCCCGCACAAGCGGCGGAGCAUGCGGAUUAAUUCGAUGCAACGCGUAGAACCUUACCUGGGUUUGACAUGGAUCGGGAGUGCUCAGAGAUGGGUGUGCCUCUUUUGGGGUCGGUUCACAGGUGGUGCAUGGCUGUCGUCAGCCCGUGUCGUGAGAUGUUGGGUUAAGUCUCGCAACGAGCGCAACCCUUGUUCACUGUUGCCAGCACGUUAUGGUGGGGACUCAGUGGAGACCGCCGGGGUCAACUCGGAGGAAGGUGGGGAUGACGUCAAGUCAUCAUGCCCCUUAUGUCCAGGGCUUCACGCAUGCUACAAUGGCUGGUACAGAGAGUGGCGAGCCUGUGAGGGUGAGCGAAUCUCGGAAAGCCGGUCUCAGUUCGGAUUGGGGUCUGCAACUCGACCUCAUGAAGUCGGAGUCGCUAGUAAUCGCAGAUCAGCAACGCUGCGGUGAAUACGUUCCCGGGGCUUGUACACACCGCCCGUCAAGUCAUGAAAGUUGGUAACACCCGAAGCCGGUGGCCUAACCGUUGUGGGGGAGCCGUCGAAGGUGGGACUGGUGAUUAGGA
RNAcentral lists this ribosomal RNA (1438 nucleotides) under uncultured organism. Its description in RNAcentral is "partial small subunit ribosomal RNA". It matches the Rfam family "Bacterial small subunit ribosomal RNA". The record is from RNAcentral.